RNAcentral lists this ribosomal RNA (1937 nucleotides) under Triticum aestivum (bread wheat). RNAcentral's name for it is "partial small subunit ribosomal RNA". The record is from RNAcentral. Lineage: Eukaryota; Viridiplantae; Streptophyta; Magnoliopsida; Poales; Poaceae.
ACCGCACAAACCAAAUCCCGCUCCCACAAUUUCCGGAAUAGCAAGCGCGCCGCCGCCGUUCGGGUUCGAGAUGUUGCCUAGGGUUGCGCCGUCUCCGGCCACCGCCGCCGCCGCCGCAGCGGUUGGCCAGCUCUCCGGGGCGGGGCUCGCCGCCGGUUCGGUGAGGCUGCCGGGGCCCCUGCCGUCUGCGGCGGGGUCGGCGGUCUGCUGCCGGGCCGCGGCGAAGGGGAAGGAGGUGCUCAGCGGCGUGAUGUUCCAGCCGUUCGAGGAGCUCAAGGGGGAGCUCUCCCUCGUGCCGCAGGGCAAGGACCAGUCGCUCGCCAGGCACAAGUUCGUCGACGAGUGCGAGGCCGCCCUCAACGAGCAGAUCAAUGUGGAGUACAAUGCCUCGUACGCGUAUCACUCCCUCUUCGCCUACUUCGACCGCGACAACGUUGCUCUCAAGGGAUUUGCCAAGUUCUUCAAGGAAUCAAGCGACGAGGAGAGGGGACACGCCGAGAAGUUAAUGGAGUACCAGAACAAACGUGGAGGGAGGGUGAGGCUCCAGUCAAUUGUCACACCCUUAACCGAGUUCGACCAUGCUGAGAAAGGCGAUGCCCUGUAUGCAAUGGAGUUGGCUCUAGCUCUUGAAAAGCUGGUGAAUGAGAAACUGCACAACCUGCACAGUGUAGCUACAAGGUGCAAUGAUCCUCAGCUGACCGACUUUGUUGAGAGUGAAUUCCUUCAGGAGCAGGUUGACGCCAUCAAGAAGAUCUCUGAGUAUGUGUCGCAGCUGAGAAGAGUCGGCAAAGGCCACGGAGUGUGGCACUUCGACCAGAUGCUGCUUGAGGAGGCAGCUUGAAGGACACGGACACGACGACUACGGGCAAUGGAGGAUGAUGACAUCUUGUUUCUAACUCCGGCGGCCGCGUCCUCCAGGUGCCCACGUCGACUCGGAGGCGGCGCUGGGGAGAAUUUGCCCGCGGUCGCUGGGGCGCUGCCUGCGUGUUCCUCCUGGACGCUCUGCGCGCACGGGAACCCAGCUCGUCCGCCGCUGCGAGGAGGCGGCCAAGCUUGUGUGCCGUUGAUGGAUCCAGCCGCUUGCUUGGCCAAGAAGGGCUCAAGUGCGGUGGCUGCUUUCGGUGACUGCGAGCAUGGCCAUAGGUGUGCUCUGUUUCGGCGUUCAGUUUAUCUGAACUAUGGCAAAUGCUCAGUUCAGUUUAUCUAAACUAUGGCAAUGUCACUAACAUACAUUUGUUCAUCUUAUGAAUCUUUAUAUGUGUUUAUUUCAAGUUUAGUUUAUGCUCAGAUAGAUACAUUUGUAUAUAACUAGAAAAAUUGCCCAUGCGUUGCACCGGGAGAUAGGCUUAACAUGUGUUAUGUGACCCACAAGAGCAGCUUCACUGCCUAACAAGGAUAUAAGCCCCCAUCCUGAAGAAAACAUUGAAUGUAAGAAUGUCACAGUAGAAAAUUACUCAGAAAAUUAUAAAAAUAAGCCAGCCGAUCAGCAAUAGGAACAAAUCAAAACUCAUGAGAGGAAUAUAACAGCAGUAGUUUUCAGCGAGUGAAACAUGCUUCUAACCAUCAGGAUUUGAUUAGUUGCUACUAACUGGUGGCACAAUGAGUAUUCUUUUCGGGAUGCAGUAAGUUCGGUUUCCAACAUAACAACAGCUAGCUUGCAUGCAUGUUAUGUUUCACUGGGGAAAAAAUCGAUAGCAGGUCUCGUACUGAAAACACAAACAACUCACACUUUCAAUUGAGAUGGCUCUCUUCGCAAAAUAAAAAUAAGAUGGCUCUGGCUUAACUGUGGCAGCUUCAAGCACUCUCAUCAAUGUGCCUAUGUCAAACCGAUGUAGAUUUUCCAACAGGGAUUUAGUGACAGCAACAAAUGAUUCACAGCCAGUAAAAAUGAAGAAGGGAAACAGAGGAUAACUGGAAACUCAAAAAAGAAGCAAGCA